RNAcentral lists this ribosomal RNA (254 nucleotides) under uncultured bacterium. Its description in RNAcentral is "partial 16S ribosomal RNA". It matches the Rfam family "Bacterial small subunit ribosomal RNA", at positions 524 to 777 of the family's 1533-position model. The record is from RNAcentral.
UACGAAGGGGGCUAGCGUUGCUCGGAAUCACUGGGCGUAAAGCGCACGUAGGCGGAUUGCUAAGUCAGGGGUGAAAUCCUGGAGCUCAACUCCAGAACUGCCUUUGAUACUGGCGAUCUUGAGUCCGGGAGAGGUGAGUGGAACUGCGAGUGUAGAGGUGAAAUUCGUAGAUAUUCGCAAGAACACCAGUGGCGAAGGCGGCUCACUGGCCCGAUACUGACGCUGAGGCACGAAAGCGUGGGGAGCAAACAGGG